RNAcentral lists this ribosomal RNA (253 nucleotides) under uncultured bacterium. RNAcentral describes it as "partial 16S ribosomal RNA". It matches the Rfam family "Bacterial small subunit ribosomal RNA", at positions 524 to 776 of the family's 1533-position model. The record is from RNAcentral.
UACGUAGGGAGCAAGCGUUGUUCGGAUUUACUGGGCGUAAAGGGCGCGUAGGCGGCAAAUUAAGUCAGCUGUGAAAUCUCCGAGCUUAACUCGGAACGGUCAGCUGAUACUGAUCUGCUAGAGUGCGGAAGGGGCAAUCGGAAUUCUUGGUGUAGCGGUGAAAUGCGCAGAUAUCAGGAGGAACACCGGUGGCGAAGGCGGGUCUCUGGGCCGAUACUGACGCUGAGGAGCGAAAGCGUGGGGAGCGAACAGG